Molecule: ribosomal RNA, 1245 nt
Filed under: metagenome
Description: bacterial SSU rRNA
Rfam family: Bacterial small subunit ribosomal RNA
Source: RNAcentral
GCUUGUUGGUAAGGUAACGGCUUACCAAGGCUAAGACGGCUAGGGGGCGUGAGAGCGCGAUCCCCCACAAUGGGACUGAGACACGGCCCAUACUCCUACGGGAGGCAGCAGUGAGGAAUAUUGUCCAAUGGACGCAAGUCUGAGACAGCAACGCCGCGUGAACGAUGAAGGCCUUCGGGUCGUAAAGUUCUUUUCUGGGGGACGAUAAUGACGGUACCUCAGGAAUAAGUCCCGGCUAACUACGUGCCAGCAGCCGCGGUAAAACGUAGGGGGCGAGCGUUAUCCGGAUUUAUUGGGCGUAAAGCGCACGUAGGCGGCGCGGUAAGUUGGACGUGAAAGCUCCCGGCUCAACUGGGAGAGGUCGUUCAAAACUAUCGUGCUCGAGGUUGGAAGAGGAGAGUAGAAUUCCCGGUGUAGUGGUGGAAUGCGUAGAUAUCGGGAGGAAUACCAGUGGCGAAAGCGACUCUCUGGUCCACACCUGACGCGGAGGUGCGAAAGCGUGGGUAGCGAACGGGAUUAGAUACCCCGGUAGUCCACGCUGUAAACGAUGGAUACUAGGUGUAGGGGGUCACUUAACCCCUCUGUGCCGGAGCAAACGCGUUAAGUAUCCCGCCUGGGGACUACGGCCGCAAGGCUAAAACUCAAAGGAAUUGACGGGGGCCCGCACAAGCAGCGGAGCGUGUGGUUUAAUUCGAUGAUACGCGAAGAACCUUACCUGGGCUGAACUACGUGGUAGUAGAGAAGCGAAAGUGGAUCGACCCUUCGGGGAGCCUCGAUAGGUGCUGCAUGGCUGUCGUCAGCUCGUGUCGUGAGAUGUUGGGUUAAGUCCCGCAACGAGCGCAACCCUCGUCGUUAGUUAUACGUGUCUAGCGAGACUGCCGGUAUCAAACCGGAGGAAGGUGGGGAUGACGUCAAGUCAGCAUGGUCUUUAUGUCCAGGGCUACACACACGCUACAAUGGCUGGUACAACAGGUUGCCACAUCGCGAGAUGGAGCUAAUCCCCAAAGCCAGUCUCAGUUCGGAUUGCAGUCUGCAACUCGACUGCAUGAAGGUGGAGUUGCUAGUAACCGCGCGUCAGCAUAGUGCGGUGAAUGCGUUCCCGGGCCUUGUACACACCGCCCGUCACAUCAUGGAAGUCGGUAACACCUGAAGUCGGUGACCUAACCGCAAGGAAGGAGCUGCCUAAGGUGGGACCGGUAACUGGGAUGAAGUCGAAACAAGGUAGCUGUAGCGAAGCUGCGGCUG